Non-coding RNA from Pelobates cultripes (western spadefoot toad), 248 nucleotides. NCBI's taxonomy places the organism in Eukaryota, Metazoa, Chordata, Amphibia, Anura, Pelobatidae. The record is from the annotation of a GenBank genome assembly.
CAUGGUAGUUAGGGUGCCGUGCGGCCAGUACAGCUCACACAAGCAAACAGCUGAUAAACUGGCCGCACGGAGGAAAUGUGUAUGUGUGACUGUCUGCCUGUGACUGUAUGUGACUGUCUGCCUGUAACUGAGUGUGUGACUGUCUGUAACUGAGUGUGUGACUGUCUGUAACUGAGUGUGUGACUGUCUGCCUGUAAAUGUGUGUGUGGGGCUGCAGGGAUUUUGUAGAAGGGGGUGGGGGUUUUGUA